UGCAGGAGUAGAAGCGGUCAGCGGCGAUGCUGCGGGACAUUGCUCCCCUG
This 50-nucleotide non-coding RNA is filed under the name unclassified sequences. The record is from Rfam.